UGGGGAAUCUUGCGCAAUGGGCGAAAGCCUGACGCAGCAACGCCGCGUGCGGGAUGAAGGCCUUCGGGUUGUAAACCGCUUUCAGUGGGGACGAACCAAGACGGUACCCACAGAAGAAGCCCCGGCCAACUACGUGCCAGCAGCCGCGGUAACACGUAGGGGGCAAGCGUUGUCCGGAUUCAUUGGGCGUAAAGAGCUCGUAGGCGGUUCGAUAAGUCGGGUGUGAAACCUCCAGGCUCAACCUGGAGACGCCACCCGAUACUGUCGUGACUAGAGUCCAGUAGGGGAGCGUGGAAUUCCUGGUGUAGCGGUGAAAUGCGCAGAUAUCAGGAGGAACACCAGCGGCGAAGGCGGCGCUCUGGGCUGGAACUGACGCUGAGGAGCGAAAGCGUGGGGAGCGAACAGGAUUAGAUACCCCUGUAGUCCCUGAGCGGGCUGGCAAGGCGCAU
RNAcentral lists this ribosomal RNA (449 nucleotides) under uncultured bacterium. Its description in RNAcentral is "bacterial SSU rRNA". It matches the Rfam family "Bacterial small subunit ribosomal RNA", at positions 355 to 825 of the family's 1533-position model. The record is from RNAcentral.